UCAUUACCGAGUUUACACUCCCAAACCCAAUGUGAACGUUACCAAACUGUUGCCUCGGCGGGAUCUCUGCCCCGGGUGCGUCGCAGCCCCGGACCAAGGCGCCCGCCGGAGGACCAACCAAAACUCUUUUUGUAUACCCCCUCGCGGGUUUUUUAUAAUCUGAGCCUUCUCGGCGCCUCUCGUAGGCGUUUCGAAAAUGAAUCAAAACUUUCAACAACGGAUCUCUUGGUUCUGGCAUCGAUGAAGAACGCAGCGAAAUGCGAUAAGUAAUGUGAAUUGCAGAAUUCAGUGAAUCAUCGAAUCUUUGAACGCACAUUGCGCCCGCCAGUAUUCUGGCGGGCAUGCCUGUCCGAGCGUCAUUUCAACCCUCGAACCCCUCCGGGGGGUCGGCGUUGGGGAUCGGCCCUCCCUUAGCGGGUGGCCGUCUCCGAAAUACAGUGGCGGUCUCGCCGCAGCCUCUCCUGCGCAGUAGUUUGCACACUCGCAUCGGGAGCGCGGCGCGUCCACAGCCGUUAAACACCCAACUUCUGAAAUGUUGACCUCGGAUCAGGUAGGAAUACCCGCUGAACUUAAGCAUAUCAAUAAGCGGAGG
This 592-nucleotide ribosomal RNA is filed under the name Trichoderma sp. CCN11. RNAcentral's name for it is "eukaryotic LSU rRNA". The stretch from base 206 to 359 matches the Rfam family "5.8S ribosomal RNA". The record is from RNAcentral. Lineage: Eukaryota; Fungi; Ascomycota; Sordariomycetes; Hypocreales; Hypocreaceae.